This 325-nucleotide ribosomal RNA is filed under the name uncultured Anoxybacillus sp. RNAcentral's name for it is "bacterial SSU rRNA". It matches the Rfam family "Bacterial small subunit ribosomal RNA", at positions 1055 to 1382 of the family's 1533-position model. Lineage: Bacteria; Bacillati; Bacillota; Bacilli; Caryophanales; Anoxybacillaceae. The record is from RNAcentral.
UCAGCUCGUGUCGUGAGAUGUUGGUUAAGUCCGCAACGAGCGCAACCCUCGACCUUAGUUGCCAGCAUUCAGUUGGGCACUCUAAGGUGACUGCCGGCUAAAAGUCGGAGGAAGGUGGGGGAUGACGUCAAAUCAUCAUGCCCCUUAUGACCUGGGCUACACACGUGCUACAAUGGGCGGUACAAAGGGUCGCGAACCCGCGAGGGGGAGCCAAUCCCAAAAAGCCGCUCUCAGUUCGGAUUGCAGGCUGCAACUCGCCUGCAUGAAGCCGGAAUCGCUAGUAAUCGCGGAUCAGCAUGCCGCGGUGAAUACGUUCCCGGGCCUU